This 212-nucleotide ribosomal RNA is filed under the name uncultured bacterium. RNAcentral's name for it is "partial 16S ribosomal RNA". It matches the Rfam family "Bacterial small subunit ribosomal RNA", at positions 28 to 230 of the family's 1533-position model. The record is from RNAcentral.
GACGAACGCUGGCGGCGUGCUUAACACAUGCAAGUCGUACGACAGCAUUUCCUUUUAGGUUGUGUUUGGAGUGGCGAACGGGUGAGUAACACGUGAGUGACCUGCCCUUCACUUUGGGAUAACGUGCGGAAACGUGCGCUAAUACCAAAUAUUCGCAUUUCUGCUGCAUGGUGGGUGUGGAAAGGGCCGUCGGUUCGUGGUGGGGAGUGGGC